AAUCCCAGUGUCAUUGAGGAUUCCGAUUCCAGCUGAGGCGAAGUUGGCACCGACUAGGAGUCGCUCUCCUGCGAGCUGUGGGCUCAAGUAUGGCAAGGUUGACUCUGCUCCAAUUGCCUCGCCUGCAGUAAACAGUACAUAACAGUUCUUAUUAUGUGCUUCUAAAUUUUUGUAACACUGUAAAAUGCAAAAUACUGACACGUAUACUAAAAAAAAGCAGACUUGGGGGCCGUUUGGACAAACUUAAAAAAAGUGACUUCUUGCUUAAAGUAAAGAAGUGGAUUAGAAGUGAGAAGUAAAUAAAUUAAUAAAGUGUUUGGAAAAGAAAUAGAAGCUCAGAGAGAGAAGAUAGCAUUCUCAAUUUCUUAAAAGUGCUUCUACUUGUUUAAACAAACAAGUAACACUAGUUUUAGCAAGAAAAGCAGAUUCCAAAAGCAGAAGCUGCUUCUGUGAAACAAACAGCUUAAUUUGAAAAUAAAAGAAAGAAAGUAAGAUGCAUAGGACGUACUAAUGAGAUCAGGGAUGUUAAGGCCAUUAGAGAAGCGUCCAGUAGGACGGUGAGUAGGAUAAUCAAUGCCAUAAGGCGGUGAGUCAGCGCGGGCAGUGGUGGCAAGGUAGUCAUUAUUGCCAUUGUCCACCAGGGAAUCUCCAAAAACGAAGAAGGCCCUGGCAGCCUCAGCCUGAGGGGCAGCAAUUAAAAGGGCAGCACAUGAAAGUACAAGAAAGAUGGAAGACAGAGUGAGUGAUGAAGAAGUAUCCAUGACAGAGUGUGUGUGUGUGUGUGUGAGUGUGUAUCUCUGUCGUCCUUCUCUGCUAAACUGAUGAUGAAUGAAUGUAUUGGCAGACUAUGGUUUAUAUAUAUGAUGACAAGCUGCAGUGGGUGUCUCUGCAUUAAAUGUCUUCUCCUACCACCAUUAGCUAGAUAGGAAUACAUCACUUAAUGAGGACCACAUUGCCUUGUUUACAGCUCAAGCUACACCAUCUUUUUGCUUACUUGUCUCUAAUGGAACACAUUUCUUAACUACACCAUAACAAGAACCUCUUAUCAUCUAGGCUUAAGCUCCAUGCCAGCUACAACAUUGCAACCACAGAGCAAGUUUAACGUUAUGGAUCCCUAAUCACUCACAGCCUCUGCUGCAACUUACCCUACUAGUCUAGUACUACUGGAAUCAAACAUACAUCGUUACACUACAUUCAACUAUUUGGUAUUAACAAAUUUUAUACUCCCUCCGCCCCUCUAUUUUUUACAUCGGUGAAGGGGAUUCGACACGCAUUUUAAUUUUAAGACUCUCACAAAAUAUAAUUUGAUAAAUAACUUUAAAUAUUUUUCUUAUAAAUAAAUAUUUAAUGUUUAAAUUUUUAUACAUAAUAAGAAAUCUUUUAAAUAAAGUUACAAACAUAUACUUUAUAUGCAACUUAAAAUACUUGUUACGUCGUUGAAAAAAAUGAGAGAAACAUAGAGAUUUAUACUGUGUACGGAAAAUAUACUUAUAUGAUAUAAAAUUUAAAUUAUCAAAAAUAUAAUAAAAAAUAUGAAUUAUUUAACUUGUCGAGUCGAAUCAGGAUAUAUUAAUUACUUUAUCACAUUUGAAGUUAUACAUCUUAUCAGUUCCGCCUUAAACAUGUUUUCUAGAUUUUAAAUAAUUCCGCUAAGAACUUAUCAUAGACAUUUUUGAUUUGCAGGUGUCUUUUUGGUUGAUGCAGACGAGGUUAACAUGCUAAUGACAUAGACAGCUAUAUAUUCUAGCUAAUAAGUGUUUGGUCACAUUAGAAUCAAGAAAUGAAAGCUGAUAGAUUACAGGUUGUGAUUUGAGCAUUGUUU
This 1822-nucleotide long non-coding RNA is filed under the name Daucus carota (carrot). RNAcentral's name for it is "long non-coding RNA (DCAR_LNC001163)". Lineage: Eukaryota; Viridiplantae; Streptophyta; Magnoliopsida; Apiales; Apiaceae. The record is from RNAcentral.